Molecule: unclassified non-coding RNA, 484 nt
Filed under: Hevea brasiliensis (rubber tree)
Lineage: Eukaryota; Viridiplantae; Streptophyta; Magnoliopsida; Malpighiales; Euphorbiaceae
Source: RNAcentral
GAUACAUACUCUCCACCAAUUUCUACAUAAAAGUGGGGGAAAUAUUAGUAGAAAAGAUGAUUUAGCAAUGAGGCUACACAACCAUUCUGAGAACACGUAAAAACAACAUAACCAAGGAGCCCCAAUCAUUAAGUUAUGGGAUUUUGACAUUUAACUCCUGAGCUGAUGAGCAUGUCCACAGAUCUAGUAAAUAAAAUUUAUAUAGAAGUAGAAAACAAAACAAAUGACUCUAAGAAACAUAUAGCAAAUUGCAGAGUAUAGUCCUCAUUUACAACUCAUUGGUAGAAAUGAUGAAAAAGACAACCUAUAUAACUUCUCAGGCCAACAAAUGAUCAAUCAGCACAUGUAUUCAUCAAAUGAUAUGUGCAAGGGGGCAAGGAAGUAUGAGCAGGAAAAGUAGGACAUUGCAGAAUAUAGCAUAUACUUCAUGUAUCAAUUAUAAUUCUAGCCAAAGCUAAAAUUUUGCUGUAAAUUAUGACAUGAC